GACGAACGCUGGCGGCGUGCUUAACACAUGCAAGUCGAACGGAAAGGCCCCUUUGGGGGUACUCGAGUGGCGAACGGGUGAGUAACACGUGAGUAACCUGCCCUUGACUUCGGGAUAACGUCAGGUAACUGGGGCUAAUACUGGAUAGGAAUAAUUGCUGCAUGGUGGGGGUUGGAAAGCUUCGGGGGGUUUGGAUGGACUCGCGGCAUAUCGGCUUGCUGGUGGGGUUGUGGCUUACCAAGGCGUUGACGGGUAGCCGGCCUGAGAGGGCGACCGGCCACAUUGGGACUGAGAUGCGGCCCAGACUCCGACGUGAGGCAGCUGUGGGGAAUAUUGCACAAUGGGCGGAGGCCUGAUGCAGCAGCGCCGCGGGCGGGAUGACGGCCUUCGGGUUGUAAACCGCUUUCAGCAGGGGCGAAGCUUGUGUUGACGGUACCUACAGAAGAAGCACCGGCUAACUACGUG
This 465-nucleotide ribosomal RNA is filed under the name uncultured bacterium. RNAcentral describes it as "partial 16S ribosomal RNA". It matches the Rfam family "Bacterial small subunit ribosomal RNA", at positions 28 to 507 of the family's 1533-position model. The record is from RNAcentral.